RNAcentral lists this transfer RNA (63 nucleotides) under Lyrodus sp. FL G0. Its description in RNAcentral is "tRNA-Thr". It matches the Rfam family "tRNA". Rfam says of the family: Transfer RNA (tRNA) molecules are approximately 80 nucleotides in length. Their secondary structure includes four short double-helical elements and three loops (D, anti-codon, and T loops). Lineage: Eukaryota; Metazoa; Mollusca; Bivalvia; Myida; Teredinidae. The record is from RNAcentral.
GGCUGGGUAGUUUAGGUAGAAUUACGGUUUUGUAAUCCGUUGGUACUCAGUGAGUUCUAGCCA